RNAcentral lists this ribosomal RNA (261 nucleotides) under uncultured archaeon. RNAcentral's name for it is "partial 16S ribosomal RNA". It matches the Rfam family "Archaeal small subunit ribosomal RNA", at positions 748 to 1008 of the family's 1478-position model. The record is from RNAcentral.
UAGCCGUAAACGAUACUCGCUAGGUGUCGACCACGGUGCGACCGUUGUCGGUGCCGUAGGGAAGCCGUGAAGCGAGCCACCUGGGAAGUACGGCCGCAAGGCUGAAACUUAAAGGAAUUGGCGGGGGAGCACAACAACGGGUGGAGCUUGCGGUUUAAUUGGAUUCAACGCCGGAAAUCUUACCGGGACCGACAGCAACAUGAAGGCCAAGCUGAAGACUUUGCCGGAUUAGCUGAGAGGUGGUGCAUGGCGUCAGUGACU